Small nucleolar RNA from Fundulus heteroclitus (mummichog), 75 nucleotides. NCBI's taxonomy places the organism in Eukaryota, Metazoa, Chordata, Actinopteri, Cyprinodontiformes, Fundulidae. The record is from Ensembl.
AUGCAGUGAUGACUUGAAUUUCUUCACCUGAAACUCACUAUGAUGCUUUUUUUGAGCUUUUUAACCCUGAGCAUU